This 404-nucleotide ribosomal RNA is filed under the name Actinomycetes bacterium. Its description in RNAcentral is "Actinobacteria bacterium partial 16S ribosomal RNA". It matches the Rfam family "Bacterial small subunit ribosomal RNA", at positions 355 to 776 of the family's 1533-position model. Lineage: Bacteria; Bacillati; Actinomycetota; Actinomycetes. The record is from RNAcentral.
UGGGGAAUAUUGGACAAUGGGCGCAAGCCUGAUCCAGCCAUGCCGCGUGAGUGAUGAAGGCCCUAGGGUUGUAAAGCUCUUUCACCGGUGAAGAUAAUGACGGUAACCGGAGAAGAAGCCCCGGCUAACUUCGUGCCAGCAGCCGCGGUAAUACGAAGGGGGCUAGCGUUGUUCGGAUUUACUGGGCGUAAAGCGCACGUAGGCGGACUAUUAAGUCAGGGGUGAAAUCCCGGGGCUCAACCCCGGAACUGCCUUUGAUACUGGUAGUCUUGAGUUCGAGAGAGGUGAGUGGAAUUCCGAGUGUAGAGGUGAAAUUCGUAGAUAUUCGGGGGAACACCAGUGGCGAAGGCGGCUCACUGGCUCGUUACUGACGCUGAGGUGCGAAAGCGUGGGGAGCAAACAGG